GCUCAGCCCACCCUUAGGCUCCGGCAGGAGCUGUUCCAGACCAGUUUCCAGCCCGCAGCAAACUCUUUGUGAAGGGUAUCCAGGACUGUCCUGUGAAGAGCUGGAGCACUCAGGUCUAAGUUGAUAUUGCUCCUUCUGCUGAAAUGACAGCUCCUGGGUGAGGUGUGACACUGCACAACCAAGAAAUCUGCAUGCAGGAUGUGUUUUCUCCAGCUCCACAGCUUUCCAGGAAGAGGUUUAGCAGAAUCUCUGAAUGUAUUUACGUAUUUGGAAACCUGUUUUACCAAAAAUAUUUGAAUCUGAAAUGUGUGAUUCGUAUCUCAGCAAACUGACAUGGU
Long non-coding RNA from Zonotrichia leucophrys gambelii, 338 nucleotides. RefSeq lists it as uncharacterized. The record is from RefSeq and is a predicted model, not a curated record. NCBI's taxonomy places the organism in Eukaryota, Metazoa, Chordata, Aves, Passeriformes, Passerellidae. The transcript has 3 exons.